UUGGAGAUGCCCACGACGUCCAUGGCGUGCCUCGUCGCCGCGUACUCUUCCGCGUUGUCCACACCUUUAAGCGUGUAGCAGGAGGAUUGGUUGGUGUAACGGUAGUCCGCGGGCGUCUUCAACCGAAGCUCCUUGCGCUCAUCCGGGGAGGCUCCGUCGCAGAGCUGGUAGAAGAUGUGGAAGUUUCUCUCCGGGUCGUUGAUGUUCACAAUGCGGCUGCGCUCGAGGAGGUAGGUCCUGAUUGCCGCGCCGCUGAUCCUGUUCUUCUUAUCGAACUGAAUCUCCACGAACUUGCCGAAUCUCGACGAGUUGUCGUUGCGCACCGUCUUUGCGUUGCCGAAAGCCUCCAGCAGCGGGUUGGACUCCAGCACCUGCUGCUCCACGGGCCUGGCGCUCUCCAGCGCCGCCUGGUCCGGGUGGUGUUCGACGCCGUCGGAGCUGCCGCCCAUGUGAGCGAGGUAGUGCAUGAUCUGCUUGGUCGUCUCCGUCUUGCCCGCGCCGGACUCGCCAGACACGAGGAUGGACUGCGAGUGCGACUCCUUCACCAUUGUGCGAAACGCCGCCUCAGCAAUUGCAAACACGUGGGGGCUCAACUCGCCGAGCUGCAUACCCUGGUACUGGUCCAUCAUGUGGUGGUCGUACAGGUGGGGUAGACGCUGGAAUGGGUUCACCUGCGGAUGGGAAGUGGCGUGCACGGGGCGCGGUUCGGGGUCACUACCGGUCGAAUGGUUUUUGGGAACGUUGAUUCGACACGGGGGUUACGUUCGACACGGAGGGAUAUGGUGGAAGGGCUCGGGGGCGGGGAUCUGUCGUGGACUCACCGCGAUGAGGAUGGAACCGGUGUAGGUGUAGAUCUCGUCGAGUCCGUAGCGCGACUGCAGGUUGUUUAGCACGCCAGGUUCGUGGAGGUAGUUGAGCUUCACCAUGUCCUCCUGGGUGGCCUUCUCGCAGAGGCUGCAGUCGGCAGCGGGGACCACCUUGUCCCCCGCUCCCGGGAUCUGCACCGUGACCUUGUCGCCGUCGAUGGAGGUGACCUCCCCGGAGAUGUAGGCAUCAUCACCUCCAUCGGGAAGCCAUACCUUGACGCCCACGGCGAUGGCAUUCACCUCUGCCACCGCGUCGGUCGCGCCCAUGGUUGACUCACGCUGACGCCGAAAGGAACGAGCCGUUGAGUGGCUAGCUAGUGCGGCAAGAUUCUACGAGAGCAGAGACCCUCGCUGCGGAGUGGUGACCCUCCCUGCUUACGUCCCAGCCGAGCGGUGUCACACGCGCCACUCGAUUGGUCGCGCGAUGUGUCGCACCCGCUAGGGAUGUCGCCUGGUGCUUCU
Molecule: long non-coding RNA, 1328 nt
Filed under: Micromonas commoda
Lineage: Eukaryota; Viridiplantae; Chlorophyta; Mamiellophyceae; Mamiellales; Mamiellaceae
Description: long non-coding RNA (MCOM_LNC000147)
Source: RNAcentral